Molecule: ribosomal RNA, 492 nt
Filed under: uncultured bacterium
Lineage: Bacteria
Description: partial 16S ribosomal RNA
Rfam family: Bacterial small subunit ribosomal RNA
Source: RNAcentral
AGUGAACGCUGGCGGUAGGCCUAACACAUGCAAGUCGAACGGCAGCACAGUAAGAGCUUGCUCUUACGGGUGGCGAGUGGCGGACGGGUGAGGAAUACAUCGGAAUCUACUUUUUCGUGGGGGAUAACGUAGGGAAACUUACGCUAAUACCGCAUACGACCUACGGGUGAAAGCAGGGGAUCUUCGGACCUUGCGCGAUUGAAUGAGCCGAUGUCGGAUUAGCUAGUUGGCGGGGUAAAGGCCCACCAAGGCGACGAUCCGUAGCUGGUCUGAGAGGAUGCUCACCCACACUGGAACUGAGACACGGUCCAGACUCCUACGGGAGGCAGCAGUGGGGAAUAUUGGACCAUGGGCGCAAGCCUGAUCCAGCCAUACCGCGUGGGUGAAGAAGGCCUUCGGGUUGUAAAGCCCUUUUGUUGGGAAAGAAAAGCAGCAGGUUAAUACCCCGCUGUUCUGACGGUACCCAAAGAAUAAGCACCGGCUAACUUCGUG